CCUGAUCCAGCCAUGCCGCGUGUGUGAAGAAGGCCUUUUGGUUGUAAAGCACUUUAAGCAGUGAAGAAGACCAUAUGGUUAAUACCCAUAUGCGAUGACAUUAGCUGCAGAAUAAGCACCGGCUAACUCUGUGCCAGCAGCCGCGGUAAUCA
This 152-nucleotide ribosomal RNA is filed under the name uncultured Psychrobacter sp. RNAcentral describes it as "partial 16S ribosomal RNA". It matches the Rfam family "Bacterial small subunit ribosomal RNA", at positions 382 to 527 of the family's 1533-position model. Lineage: Bacteria; Pseudomonadati; Pseudomonadota; Gammaproteobacteria; Moraxellales; Moraxellaceae. The record is from RNAcentral.